This 403-nucleotide ribosomal RNA is filed under the name uncultured microorganism. RNAcentral's name for it is "bacterial SSU rRNA". It matches the Rfam family "Archaeal small subunit ribosomal RNA", at positions 330 to 735 of the family's 1478-position model. The record is from RNAcentral.
GUGCAGCAGGCGCGAAACCUCCGCAAUACACGAAAGUGUGACGGGGCCAUCCCGAGUGCCGUCCGCUGAGGACGGCUUUUCCCCAGUGUACACAGCUGGGGGAAUAAGGAGAGGGCAAGCCUGGUGUCAGCCGCCGCGGUAAUACCAGCUCUCCGAGUGGUGGGGACGCUUAUUGGGCCUAAAGCAUCCGUAGCCGGCUGGGCAAGUCCUCCGUUAAAUCCAACGAUUCAAUCGUUGGGCUGCGGGGGAUACUGUCCAGCUUGGGGGCGGGAGAGGCCGACGGUAUUCCCGGGGUAGGGGUGAAAUCCUAUAAUCCCGGGAGGACCACCAGUGGCGAAGGCUGUCGGCUAGAACGCGCCCGACGGUGAGGGAUGAAAGCUGGGGGAGCGAACCGGAUUAGAUA